Equus caballus (horse) is the source of this 1705-nucleotide non-coding RNA. Lineage: Eukaryota; Metazoa; Chordata; Mammalia; Perissodactyla; Equidae. The record is from RefSeq and is a predicted model, not a curated record.
GAUGAGCAGUGCCAUGUCCACGCCCAGGACUCGAACCAAUGAAACACUGGGCCGCCUGCAGCAGAGCGCACGAACUUAACCACUCAGCCACGGGGCCAGACCCUAAGAUGUCAAAGAUUUUGAGUAUCAGUCAUAGAGAUUAUUCAAAUCAUCUCUGCGUCUCAGACUUGCAUCUUCCUUGACUCUGAAAACCAUCCCGACAAGCUAGCGUGUCAAACGUCCAGCUAGCAGCAUCACUGCAAGUACCUCAGACAGGGCUCUGAUGAUUCUCCAGUCUUCUCUUGCCAAGCCGGGAGGUGUCACAGCUACUUUAGUCUGCUGAGCUCGGCCCUCAGUAUUGACAUAAGUAGCAGACUUCUCUGUGUAAGCAGCGCCUGGGAGAAUAACAUCAGCUAUAGGAGCUCCAACAUCACCGUGAUGUCCUAUGAAAAGACGGAAAACGGCAAACUACAUUUUAGUAAAAAAACUGAUUAGGUAUUACACACGAACAUAGUAUACAUCCUUUUUAAAUCCCAUUUUUUAAAUUACAAAAGUGUUUUAAAAAUUAAAAUCAUAUAGUACUGAAGUGUUUGGAGUAAAAAUUAAGCCCACGUUACCCACCAGGAAAACUACUGUUAACACAUUUAGUAUGUAUCUUCCCAGAUUAUUUUUCACAAAUAUGGAAAUAUGUAUAAUAUCAUACAAACGUAUAUAAUGAGCAACUAGGUAUAUUAUUUCUCUUGAUGAUUACAAAGUGGAAAUGCUCAGAUGUAUAUUAGCGAAAUUUCGUAAAGUAGACUGAAAUAGUGAAGGAACGAAAAGUGUACAAUAAUAUGACAGUAAUAAUGUUGAAAAGGGCAUAAACAGAAAAUUAUGGAAAACAGUAUACUGAAAGACAUCACUCAUUAAUAGUUUAAGAAAGCUGCUAGAAGAAAAAAGAAAUGAGUUAGAUGAAAGAAAGCUACAGAACAAUAAACAAAGUUUCAUCUCAUUUGUGUACAUGUUUGUAUAGCCACAGGAAAAUGUAUGAAGCAUGCGUAUCAAAACCAUCAGCAGUGAUUAUCUCUGGAUAAGACUAGGGACAGGAUUUUAGUUUAUGCAUUUGGUUUAACUUCAUCAAACUAAAGAUAGAAAAUAUUAUAUAAUGCUUUUUAUGUGCCAAGGCAAAAAGCCUAUUAUGAAUUUAUACUGAUUAUAUGUAAAAUGAAGUGGAAAGUUAUGUAAUAUUUUUCUCUGUAAAAUAUCCUGGAUUAUUCUGAACUCCAUUUUAUUCCAGAGAAACCUGAUUACAUUUAUAAUGAAUGAGAAUUCAAGAAAAUGAGUCAACUGCAAAAAACCAAAAGGGCACUGUUAAAUAUAAUUCAUUAAAUGCCCUGCAACACAGGACUUAUGAUUUUUUAACUUUUUACACUGUUGAUAAAAAGUGCUUUCUCCUGAUUAUAUAAUAACCCUAAAUAUUCUUUGAAAAGCUGCAUUUAAUGUUACAUUAAUAUUUCAUUGUAUAAAUAACCAUAAUUUAACCAUUCCUGUUACUGCGGGCAUUUAGGUUUCUUCUAGUUCUUUGUUAUUAAAGAACAUAAGGUAAUAAUUCUUAAUAGCAAUAUCAACUAUGUAACAAAUAAAACCUAUGAUUUGAUUUAAAAAAAUACUGGGCUGUGUGUGUGGAAAAUUCCUGAAUGGAAAGUAUUCAAUCCACUAAAUAUAUUGCUGUACUGAUUCGAAUACA